GACGUAGGGCGCGAGCGUUGUCCGGAUUUAUUGGGCGUAAAGAGCUCGUAGGCGGCUUGUCGCGUCGUCCGUGAAAACCUGGGGCUCAACUCCAGGCUUGGGGUCGAUACGGGCAGGCUCGAGUUCGGUAGGGGAGACUGGAAUUCCUGGUGUAGCGGUGAAAUGCGCAGAUAUCAGGAGGAACACCGGUGGCGAAGGCGGGUCUCUGGGCCGAUACUGACGCUGAGGAGCGAAAGCGUGGGGAGCGAACAGG
This 253-nucleotide ribosomal RNA is filed under the name uncultured bacterium. Its description in RNAcentral is "partial 16S ribosomal RNA". It matches the Rfam family "Bacterial small subunit ribosomal RNA", at positions 524 to 776 of the family's 1533-position model. The record is from RNAcentral.